GCGGCCUAUCAGCUUGUUGGUGAGGUAAAGGCUCACCAAGGCGACGACGGGUAGCCGGCCUGAGAGGGCGACCGGCCACACUGGGACUGAGACACGGCCCAGACUCCUACGGGAGGCAGCAGUAGGGAAUAUUGGGCAAUGGGCGAAAGCCUGACCCAGCGACGCCGCGUGAGGGAUGAAGGUCUUCGGAUUGUAAACCUCUUUCAGUAGGGAAGAAGCGAAAGUGACGGUACCUAAAGAAGAGGCACCGGCUAACUAUGUGCCAGCAGCCGCGGUAAUACAUAGGGUGCAAGCGUUGUCCGGAAUUAUUGGGCGUAAAGAGCUCGUAGGUCGUUUGUCGCGUCGAUUGUGAAAAUCUGAGGCUCAACCUCAGACCUGCAGUCGAUACGGGCAAACUAGAGUGUGGUAGGGGAGACUGGAAUUCCU
Molecule: ribosomal RNA, 426 nt
Filed under: uncultured Actinomycetes bacterium
Lineage: Bacteria; Bacillati; Actinomycetota; Actinomycetes
Description: bacterial SSU rRNA
Rfam family: Bacterial small subunit ribosomal RNA
Source: RNAcentral